RNAcentral lists this transfer RNA (73 nucleotides) under Escherichia coli. Its description in RNAcentral is "tRNA-Lys". It matches the Rfam family "tRNA". From Rfam's summary of the family: Transfer RNA (tRNA) molecules are approximately 80 nucleotides in length. Their secondary structure includes four short double-helical elements and three loops (D, anti-codon, and T loops). Further hydrogen bonds mediate the characteristic L-shaped molecular structure. tRNAs have two regions of fundamental functional importance: the anti-codon, which is responsible for specific mRNA codon recognition, and the 3' end, to which the tRNAs corresponding amino acid is attached (by aminoacyl-tRNA synthetases). tRNAs cope with the degeneracy of the genetic code in two manners: having more than one tRNA (with a specific anti-codon) for a particular amino acid; and 'wobble' base-pairing, i.e. permitting non-standard base-pairing at the 3rd anti-codon position. The record is from RNAcentral. Lineage: Bacteria; Pseudomonadati; Pseudomonadota; Gammaproteobacteria; Enterobacterales; Enterobacteriaceae.
UUGUCGUUAGCUAAGUUUGUUGAGCAGUUGACUUUUAAUCAAUUGGUCGCAGGUUCGAAUCCUGCACGACCCA